AUACGAAGGGUGCAAGCGUUAAUCGGAAUUACUGGGCGUAAAGCGUGCGCAGGCGGUUUUUUAAGACAGAGGUGAAAUCCCCCGGCUCAACCUGGGAACUGCCUUUGUGACUGCAAGGCUAGAGUACGGCAGAGGGGGAUGGAAUUCCGCGUGUAGCAGUGAAAUGCGUAGAUAUGCGGAGGAACACCGAUGGCGAAGGCAAUCCCCUGGGCAUGUACUGACGCUCAUGCACGAAAGCGUGGGGAGCAAACAGGAUGAUACCCUGGUAGUCCACGCCCUAAACGAUGUCAACUGGUUGUUGGGUCUUCAUUGACUCAGUAACGAAGCUAACGCGUGAAGUUGACCGCCUGGGGAGUACGGCCGCAAGGUUGAAACUUAAAGGAAUUGGCGGGG
RNAcentral lists this ribosomal RNA (393 nucleotides) under uncultured bacterium. RNAcentral describes it as "partial 16S ribosomal RNA". It matches the Rfam family "Bacterial small subunit ribosomal RNA", at positions 523 to 918 of the family's 1533-position model. The record is from RNAcentral.